CACGAAGGGGGCUAGCGUUGCUCGGAAUCACUGGGCGUAAAGGGUGCGUAGGCGGGUUUUUAAGUCAGAGGUGAAAUCCUGGAGCUCAACUCCAGAACUGCCUUUGAUACUGAGAAUCUUGAGUAUGGGAGAGGUGAGUGGAACUGCGAGUGUAGAGGUGAAAUUCGUAGAUAUUCGCAAGAACACCAGUGGCGAAAGCGACUUCCUGGACCAAUACUGACGCUCAUGUGCGAAAGCGUGGGGAGCAAACAGG
This 253-nucleotide ribosomal RNA is filed under the name uncultured bacterium. RNAcentral's name for it is "partial 16S ribosomal RNA". It matches the Rfam family "Bacterial small subunit ribosomal RNA", at positions 524 to 776 of the family's 1533-position model. The record is from RNAcentral.